AGUGAACGCUGGCGGUAGGCCUAACACAUGCAAGUCGAACGGCAGCACAGAGGAGCUUGCUCCUUGGGUGGCGAGUGGCGGACGGGUGAGGAAUACAUCGGAAUCUACUCUGUCGUGGGGGAUAACGUAGGGAAACUUACGCUAAUACCGCAUACGACCUACGGGUGAAAGCAGGGGACCUUCGGGCCUUGCGCGAGUGCAUGAGCCGAUGUCGGAUGAACUAGUUGGCGGGGUAAAGGCCCACCAAGGCGACGGUCCGUAGCUGGUCUGAGGGGAUGUUCAGCCACACUGGGACUGAGACACGGUCCAGACUCCUACGGGAGGCAGCAGUGGGGAAUAUUGGACAAUGUGCGCAAGCCUGAUCCAGCCAUACCGCGUGGGUGAAGUAUGCCUUCGGGUUGUAAAGCCCUUUUGUUGGGAAAGAAAUCCAGCUGGCUAAUACCCGGUUGGGAUGACGGUACCCAAAGAAUAAGCACCGGCUAACUUCGUGCCAGCAGCCGCGGUAA
This 506-nucleotide ribosomal RNA is filed under the name uncultured bacterium. RNAcentral describes it as "partial 16S ribosomal RNA". It matches the Rfam family "Bacterial small subunit ribosomal RNA", at positions 29 to 523 of the family's 1533-position model. The record is from RNAcentral.